AUUGAACGCUGGCGGAAUGCUUUACACAUGCAAGUCGAACGGCAGCACGGGAGCUUGCUCCCGGUGGCGAGUGGCGAACGGGUGAGUAACAUAUCGGAACGUACCCAGUCGUGGGGGAUAACUAUCCGAAAGGAUAGCUAAUACCGCAUACGUCCUGAGGGAGAAAGCGGGGGAUCGCAAGACCUCGCGCGAUUGGAGCGGCCGAUAUCGGAUUAGCUAGUUGGUGGGGUAAAGGCUCACCAAGGCGACGAUCCGUAGCGGGUCUGAGAGGACGACCCGCCACACUGGAACUGAGACACGGUCCAGACUCCUACGGGAGGCAGCAGUGGGGAAUUUUGGACAAUGGGGGCAACCCUGAUCCAGCCAUUCCGCGUGAGUGAAGAAGGCCUUCGGGUUGUAAAGCUCUUUCAGCAGGAACGAAACGGUCGGCUUUAAUAAAGUCGGCUAAUGACGGUACCUGCAGAAGAAGCACCGGCUAACUACGUG
Molecule: ribosomal RNA, 486 nt
Filed under: uncultured bacterium
Lineage: Bacteria
Description: partial 16S ribosomal RNA
Rfam family: Bacterial small subunit ribosomal RNA
Source: RNAcentral